UCCGGCUUAUCACCGGCAGUCCCUCUAGAGUGCCCAACUAAAUGAUGGCAACUAAAGGCGAGGGUUGCGCUCGUUGCGGGACUUAACCCAACAUCUCACGACACGAGCUGACGACAGCCAUGCAGCACCUGUCACCGGUCCAGCCGAACUGAAGGUCUCCAUCCCUGGAAACCGUCCUGCCAUGUCAAGGGCUGGUAAGGUUCUGCGCGUUGCUUCGAAUUGAACCACAUGCCCCACCGCUUGUGCGGGUCCCCGUCAAUUCCUUUGAGUUUUAACCUUGCGGCCGUACUCCCCAGGCGGUCGACUUCACGCGUUAGCUUCGUUACUGAGAGUGUCAAACCCCCAACAACCAGUCGACAUCGUUUAGGGCGUGGACUAC
This 379-nucleotide unclassified non-coding RNA is filed under the name uncultured Pseudomonadota bacterium. Its description in RNAcentral is "uncultured proteobacterium contains 16S-23S intergenic spacer region". Lineage: Bacteria; Pseudomonadati; Pseudomonadota. The record is from RNAcentral.